RNAcentral lists this small RNA (2322 nucleotides) under Histoplasma capsulatum. RNAcentral describes it as "hypothetical RNA". The record is from RNAcentral. Lineage: Eukaryota; Fungi; Ascomycota; Eurotiomycetes; Onygenales; Ajellomycetaceae. RNAcentral also lists the same sequence under 1 other name.
CAGCCUUCUCUAUUAUGUUGUCAUAGGAGUCCUUUGUUGCCAAUGACUCACUCGAAACAUUCUCUUCCUCAGGACGAAUAUUGAGAUUCUGUAGACGAACUAGACCAGCGUAUGCGCCAUCGCUUGAUAUCAACUCCGACGGUCGCUUCAUCAAGAAUCAAAAGUUUAGGCUCUUUAACUAAAGCACGAGCAAUGGAAAUUCUUUGUUUUUGACCUCCUGAUAUCAGGCUACCUGCAGAACCGACAAGAGUACCAUACCCAUCCUUUAGACGACCGAUAAAAGCACUCGCAUCAGCGAGAUCCGCUGCAUUACGCACCAGAUCUAUGAUUUUUGCAGUCUCUUGACCAUGCAUCUCUGCUUCUUCGAUUAGAUCCCGUCCAUUCCUGACGGCAGUUGCAAUAUCGGAAAGUUUACCUCCAAGCAAGGCUGGGGACAGGUGAGAGUGAGAUGGAGAAUUAAUUAGUCCCAAGGCAAUAUUCUCAAGGAUGGAUCGGUCGAGGAGUGAUGGCUCUUGCUGGACAAGACUGAGAUUGCUUCGCAAAGAUCGAACAUUGAGAUCUUUGAUGUUCUGCCCAGCGAAAGACACUUCCCCAUUUGUUGGGUCAUAUAAUCGUGCUAUUAGGCCGGCUACGGUCGACUUCCCGCUCCCGGAUAGACCAACGAUUGCGGUAUGUUGUCCAGCUGCACAUGACAUUGACACAUUAUCUAGCACAGGUUUAUCUGGCCGGGACGGAAAUGCAAAGGAAACAUUGUUCAGCUCAAUAUUACCGGAAACGUUUCGGAGAGAAUUUCCAGUGCCUUCAACUGUGCCAUCUAUUUUCGGUUCCCGGUUGAUAUCAGCUUCCAAACUUUCGAAGGUCACUCCUGCAGCAUCGAAGACUUGAACAAAAGGAGCGACUUGGCUAAGGAUCAAAGUAGCUUUUAAAACUUCAGUUAGCCUACUGGAUACUGGAUACUUUAAUAUUGAAUAUCUCACCAUCGACCAACAAAAAAAUCACGGUGUAUGUAGUCCCAACUGAUGAUCCAGGGUUACCGGAGGCAACUGCAUCCGCGAUCGUUUUCGAGCCUUGCCAGAAUGCCAAUCCAUUUGCGGAGAAUGCAAUAAAAUACAGCAAUCCCGACUGGACAGCGAUAGAAAUUGCCUUUCUAAUUCCAGCUACCUUUGCAUUGCCCAACAGGCCUGCAAAUUUCGAUUCUAACUGAGCGUUUGCCGAGAAUGCAUGCACAAUUGUUGCGUUUGACAGUGCUUCCAUCGCAACGGAUGAUGCUCCAGCAACGUUUUUCAGCAUAGCCGAUGCGUAUUUCUGAGUAUAGUAACCGCCAACAAGCGACAUUAGCAGAUAGGCUGGCGUUAGAGACACUAACUCCCCACCAAGUUUUGCAUCUUUGACGAAAGCGAUGAUAUAAGCGGUGAUGAAAAACGAUACACUAUUGAGGACAAUGCCUACUUUCUCAGAUGUCCCCUGUUGGAUUGUCGUUAUGUCACUCGUGAGUCGAGAUGCAGCUUCUCCAGCUGGCAUAUUGUCGAAGAAUGAAGCAUCCUGCCGUAAUAGACUUUUGAAAUACCGCUCACGAAGUCUUUGGGCCAGGCGCUCACCAAACAAAUUCCACGAAGCGACAUAGAUAUAUACCAAGACAAACCUCUUUGAGAAUCGGUGUUGCAAGAUGCAGAAUUAAGAUUGUCAACCAAUUGGCCGAAGAUAAUACCCAUAAGAGGGAAUGGCACUCCUGAAGCAAUCGCGGCUAGUAUACCAAGUGUGAGGAGAAUAAGGUCAACGGUUGUCGGCUCUGCAUAAAAGAGAAGGCGGACAUAUCUAGUAGCCCUUCGAAUAAUCUAUCCAGUCGUCACAGAGUUAGCUGUGCUUAUAACAUUUGUAUUUGAGAUGAUUAUCAGUACCCUUCGGCUCUUCGCAGUUUUUGACUCUCCGGCAGCCAAAUCUUCCGACGCCUCAGUCAUAUCUGUGUUUGGUAGCAGGAAAACAAACUCCUCUGCUCAAGUACCGCAAUUUCCAAUGCGAGUUUAUGAAAGCAAACACCAGGAAGAGUUGAUUCAUGGCGAGAACGGAAAGUGGCUCUCGAUGAAGCUCGAUGUCUCCCCCAGGCGGAUGGCCCUCGAUAGCUCUGAGGAUUCUAGGCCCCAUGCUGCGAAGUUUCUCUUGCUCUCAUUUUUUCUAGUUUCGCGUUUUGUGGGUCAAUUGCACCAAUGCCGUAGGGGAGCACAGUAGCGUUGUGUGAGGUGGUAUGAUGUUUGGAUACGAACCUUAUCAGAUCCGUAUUUAUUUCAGAAAUGGUUUGUAUAUGUGCAUAACAAUACGAUAGCG